AACCACCAAUGAGUUGCUACCUUGGAUAUGGCUUGUCUGGAACCUGCAAAUAUGUUUGCGACCCAGGAGAAGAUCAUAUGUACGGUAUGUCAGACUGCGAGGGACGCAUCUGCUGUUACCAUGGCUUCGGAAAAUGAUCUCAUGUCAUGGGUACAAAGAAGUGAACUACGCUGAGAUGCUUAUACUUUGACUGAAGAUCUUCAGCAAGGGAUCCAUUCCUUGAGAUCCUAAAAUUGCUUUUAGUAUGUACUAGUAUUGUAUUAUGGGACGUAUCAAGGCAACAUGCUGUAAAAGAAUGGAAAUAAAAUGGGAUACAACGGAGAAAUUCA
Stylophora pistillata is the source of this 329-nucleotide long non-coding RNA. The record is from RefSeq and is a predicted model, not a curated record. Lineage: Eukaryota; Metazoa; Cnidaria; Anthozoa; Scleractinia; Pocilloporidae.